This 292-nucleotide ribosomal RNA is filed under the name uncultured bacterium. RNAcentral describes it as "partial 16S ribosomal RNA". It matches the Rfam family "Bacterial small subunit ribosomal RNA", at positions 505 to 796 of the family's 1533-position model. The record is from RNAcentral.
GUGACAGCAGCCGCGGUAAUACGGGGGGUGCAAGCGUUGUUCGGAAUUACUGGGCGUAAAGCGCGUGUAGGCGGCCCUGCAAGUCAGAUGUGAAAGCCCUCGGCUUAACCGGGGAAGUGCAUCUGAAACUGCUUGGCUUGAGUACUGGAGAGGAAGGCGGAAUUCCCAGUGUAGAGGUGAAAUUCGUAGAUAUUGGGAGGAACACCGGUGGCGAAAGCGGCCUUCUGGACAGAUACUGACGCUGAGACGCGAAAGCGUGGGGAGCAAACAGGAUUAGAAACCCCAGUAGUCC